AGAGUUUGAUCAUGGCUCAGAUUGAACGCUGGCGGAAUGCUUUACACAUGCAAGUCGAACGGCAGCACGGGGGCAACCCUGGUGGCGAGUGGCGAACGGGUGAGUAAUACAUCGGAACGUGCCCAGUCGUGGGGGAUAACGUAGCGAAAGCUACGCUAAUACCGCAUACGAACUCUGGUUGAAAGCGGGGGACUCGCAAGGGCCUCGCGCGAUUGGAGCGGCCGAUGGCAGAUUAGGUAGUUGGUGGGGUAAAGGCUCGCCAAGCCGACGAUCUGUAGCUGGUCUGAGAGGACGACCAGCCACACUGGGACUGAGACACGGCCCAGACUCCUACGGGAGGCAGCAGUGGGGAAUUUUGGACAAUGGGCGCAAGCCUGAUCCAGCCAUUCCGCGUGCAGGAUGAAGGCCCUCGGGUUGUAAACUGCUUUUGUACGGAACGAAACGGCCUUUUCUAAUACAGAGGGCUAAUGACGGUACCGUAAGAAUAAGCACCGGCUAACUACGUGCCAGCAGCCGCGGUAAUACGUAGGGUGCAAGCGUUAAUCGGAAUUACUGGGCGUAAAGCGUGCGCAGGCGGUUAUGUAAGACAGGUGUGAAAUCCCCGGGCUUAACCUGGGAACUGCAUUUGUGACUGCAUAGCUAGAGUACGGUAGAGGGGGAUGGAAUUCCGCGUGUAGCAGUGAAAUGCGUAGAUAUGCGGAGGAGCACCGAUGGCGAAGGCAAUCCCCUGGACCUGUACUGACGCUCAUGCACGAAAGCGUGGGGAGCAAACAGGAUUAGAUACCCUAGUAGUCC
RNAcentral lists this ribosomal RNA (795 nucleotides) under uncultured bacterium. RNAcentral's name for it is "bacterial SSU rRNA". It matches the Rfam family "Bacterial small subunit ribosomal RNA", at positions 8 to 796 of the family's 1533-position model. The record is from RNAcentral.